RNAcentral lists this ribosomal RNA (106 nucleotides) under uncultured bacterium. RNAcentral describes it as "partial 16S ribosomal RNA". It matches the Rfam family "Bacterial small subunit ribosomal RNA", at positions 229 to 334 of the family's 1533-position model. The record is from RNAcentral.
GCCUACGUCGGAUUAGCUUGUUGGUAGGGUAAAAGCCUACCAAGGCGACGAUCCGUAGCUGGUUUGAGAGGAUGAUCAGCCACACUGGGACUGAGACACGGCCCAG